GAUGAUAUAUUACUAUGAUGAUACUACUGGCAUACAGGUAUAUCCUGUAAAAGAAACAUUGCAUCAAGAGUAUAUUAAGUGCCAAAUUAAAAUGUUACUUCGGUAAAAGAAAAUUCGGAGUGGAAAUAUCUUAGAAAACAGAUGUAUGAACAUGGCUUCUUGCCUAUUUCCCUGAUAGCUGGUUUCCACCACAUUCAGACUCACUAUAAAGCUUAAUCUUAUUUUAGAGACAUUAAGCAAUAGCACAGAAAUGGAAAUUGUGAACGAGAGCAUGAGAAAAAAGAACAAGAUAAAUAGCCCUUUCCUGAUUGUCUUCUAUCAAGUAUGCCACAGACUUCUCUCAAAUGAUCAAUUGCUCAGAAUUCAUACUAGGCCAAGCCUUUGGCUAACAUACAGAGAGUCUGUCCUAUAUUCUACAAGAAUUGGAAGUCCACUGAGUCCAAAGAAAAUACUGAAACAAGCAGUCUUCAAGCAAUCUAGAAGUUUGUCUACCAAUUUGCCCCAUUUAGACUCAGAGCGAAGUAAAAAAGAAUCAUCAACCACCUCCAGUGAAAUGGAAAGAAUCAAUGUCUGUAUCUGAUGAGAGAAGUCAACUACAUCCUCUAAAGUAAUGAGAAUGAGAAGAACUUGAUAUUUUAUUUGAUGAAGAAGUGAAAUAUAGAAGAAUGAAAAACACAUUUACUGAUUGGUCUGAUAAUGAUUCAGAUUAGAAAAUUGAUGAUCAGGAUUCAGAAAAGAUUUUUAUUCUAAUCCGUACUCUGCCUUACAUGAGAAAGCAUCCUAGAGGGUAUCAAACAACAAUAAUGUGUCUUGGGCAAGAAUUUUAAUCUGAACUUGCUAAAGUUAUCAAUAAUAUCAUUAUUAUAUAU
RNAcentral lists this long non-coding RNA (869 nucleotides) under Homo sapiens (human). RNAcentral's name for it is "non-protein coding lnc-CCDC160-2:1". Lineage: Eukaryota; Metazoa; Chordata; Mammalia; Primates; Hominidae. The record is from RNAcentral.